ACUAACCUCAAUAUAAAUCCGAAGGAUCAACCCGAAGUUAACGACAAUAGUCAAGAAAUCAGUCGAAACGUGCAAAUACAAGAGAGCAGUGCCCUAAUUAUAGAUGCUCCUACAUCUAUAUAUAAUAAAGGUUGGUUUAUUAAGAUUACGUAAGAAAAAUAUUUCGAAUUAUUGAUUCACAGCCAGAAAUGGCUUGAAUCCAAUAGUUCAUUAUUUAAUGGAUUUUUUCAUUUUAAUACUCUAUCUGAGAGUUAUCAAUAUUUAUCAAAUUUGUUCUUAUCUAACAGAAAGCAAUUAGAUCAAAUAAAAACACAAUCAAGUUACUUAUGCAAUUUUUUUACUCAGAGAGAUAAUCUAUUUUUUUAAACAUCCUACAAAUAGUUAUUUAAGUCCCAUCUCACACACUUACAAUCAAGAUCUCUCUCUAUUAAUCUUAAACAUCAUACAAAUAGUGAUUUAAAUCUCAUUAUACACACUUAAAAUCUCUUUUUACAAAACGUGUUUUUUCAAGUCCCGAUUAGCUACUCUCUAAUAAUGGAUCGGAUGAUAUGGCAUUUUAGUUCGGAUGGAAGAUAUAGUGUAAGGUCGGCAUAUUGUGUUGCUCUUGAUAUGUGGUUGGCUCAAUCAUUAUUGGUUGUCUGAAGCACUUUUAACCGUCAUAGGUUCGUUUGAAUAAGAAGGGUAUUUCGCUAUUUUCCUCAUGUAACCGAUGUGGUGAGGCUGAGAGUAUGGAUCACAUUUUGCUCUUUGUCUAUAUGCGCAAGCAAUUUGGAGUGCUGCUGGUUUUUCAUUCAGUCAAUCAAUAAUGAUUGACAUAUUUUGCAAGCUUCUUGACUUGGCAAUUCCUAAGCAUCUACAACAUGUAUUGGUGCUUGUUAGAUGAUAUGGUCUAAUCGAAAUUACUUUGUUUGGAAAAGGGAAGAUGUUGUUGCAUCAAUCAUUCAGGUUGCUGAUGCUUUUUGGAUCCAUUUGCAACAGUUGAUGGAGGUGUUUGCUGCGGCUAAUGCGAGUGGUGACCAAGAUGGAGUGACUCGCUGUUGAGGAAGGGCUGGUUAGGCACCUCCGGAAGGUGGCCUGCUAAAAUGUAAUAUGGAUUCUACCUGUUUCAAGUAAGAGGGGGCUACAGGGUAUGCGAUCGUAGUUUGGGACUCUUCGAGCUGUGUGCUUAAAAGUUUUUCUGGUUUUAUUUAUGUUUGUUUUAAUGAGGCAUUGUCAUGGUUAAAAUCUUUGGCUUUCAAUAAUGUAAUAGUUGAGUUGGAUUGUUUGCUUGUAAUUUCGGCUUUGUCACGUCCGUCAUUUGAUUUUUCUAAACUAGAUAUGUUGUUUCGUGAUUGUUUACUAAUGAAGAAUCAAUUUCAGCACCUAUCUUUUUGUUGGACUCGUUAGUGUACCAACAAGGUGGCUCAUUCCUUAACUCGAGUGGCUUUGUUAUAUGCAAACCACAUUGAAUGGGAUGGUUUUUUCAUGUUUCUUUUAAUGAGAAUCUUUUGUCUGUAACUAAAGAUGGUGUGGUUGGG
This 1517-nucleotide long non-coding RNA is filed under the name Gossypium barbadense (sea-island cotton). Its description in RNAcentral is "long non-coding RNA (GBAR_LNC017629)". The record is from RNAcentral. Lineage: Eukaryota; Viridiplantae; Streptophyta; Magnoliopsida; Malvales; Malvaceae.